UACCAAAUUUUUGUGAUUUUUUUUUUUUUUUUUUUUGAUUACUCACAGGGUCUGAUUUUCUCUGAAUUUUUUUGGGGAGGGACCCCAGCAGACCCAUGGCCAGCUGGAACACCCCCUACCACAUCCCCUGCCCCAUGGAUUUGGGGGCAACCACAUGCUGCAAAGUGGCAUAGGCCAGCCUUAAAGAGAGGUGAGAAAACCCAUAGGUGGGAAAGACCGAGGGGCAAGGGAGAAAAAGAUUGGCCUUGGAAAGGUAUAACAGAGGCAGUGGUGGGCAGCUACCAUCUUCUUGUCCGCUGCUAGAGGAUAAAGGGAAGACCUGCAGAUGAGGAUAUACUGUUUCUCCUGACAUAAUGGGAAACCGCGGCAGAUGAUGGGUGGUGGUACACUCAUAACGUGGCCAGGAGCAGCGUGGUAGGCUGGGACAGCAGAGGAAUGCUGCCUUAUAUAUUAAAGGGAGGACAAGGUCAAUUGGGUUAGCAAACUGAGGUUGUCAGCAACUUGGAUAAAAUCUCUCUGGAUUGACACACCAGUCCCCAUUCAGUGUUUUCUUAUUCAGCCUGAGGUUGUCUGCUGCUGGACCACUAUGGUGACAGAUGCUGGAAGGAAUCGGAGGGGCUCUGAGGACAGGGGAAAAAACAGGUUUAACUUGCCCCAUGUAGGCAGCAUCCUUGAUAGCGUCAUGGAGGCAGACAGCCUGCUAAGGGGAAAAUACAGAAAUGGGGAAACUUCUUUAAAGAAGCUGAAACAGCUUUGCAGGUGACGGAGAGGCAUUUGACAGGUGAGGUUGAGUUUGUGGGGAAAACAGGAAGAUUUGCCACCUCUAGAAGCUUCCAUGUGAAAAAAUGAAAGGAGGCAAGUGAAAUCUUGAGGAACAAGUGUGUUUUACAAGGUUUCCCUGAUUUCAGCUACCAUAUAAAUAGGGAUGGUGCCCUCAUGAAGACACAUCCAUGACAGCAGCUACCUCUGGCUCAUGGUCCUCGGCCAGCAGGAGGAAGAAGGGGAUUAGGAUGCAAAUGAACAACACUUGCUAUUACUACCAAUAAAGAUGAGAGCUGGCUGCAAAUUCCUUCCACAACAAUGCUCCAUUUUAAGUGAGCACUAAGGAAUUAGGCAAUUUCCUUGGGGCUUUGUGCUUCAGUUGGUUUGGGACCAGCUCUUACACAAAUCUCAACUCAAAGUUUGCCUAUUAUUUUCCACUACUAGGCUCAGUGUGAGAAGAGGCACUUAUAAUCUGUGGGCACCAGCUAAUAAAUUUACCUGCACAGAAAGGUAAGGUGCUUUACCUGCACAAAGGGUCCUUAAGCAGGUGCCUGACUUAUUUUUUGCGUGGUUCUUCUGCACAGCCUCUGUCUGGUCUCUACAAUAAAUGCACAGCUGCCCAACUCCUGAGAAUGCUUAACAAGCUGUGAACAAGGUAAUAUUAUUCUCUGCGUCAUUCUUGUUUUCAGUAAAGCUGAAAUGAACUGAAAAGUGAGAUGACCCCAGUGCUGCAACAUUGCAGGGCUGCAAAACAACAACUCUUUCUUAUUUUUCCUAUCCAGUAACCUAAAAAUGGGGCUCAGUGGGCUCUGAAUCUCCCCAUCCUCUGCCAGCCUGGAUGGGGUUCAAGCCUUCUGGCUAGUGCCAGAAUCCCCAGAGGAUGCUGUGGCCUCAGGGCAGGAGCAGUGGGGAGGCUGCUCCCCAUCACCCCAUGAAGCCGAGCUGCCAUGCAGAAAGCAAUGCAAGAUUUAUGAAGCCAUGAGGAGAAAGAGCAAGGGACUCUUCAUGUAUUUUUCAUGGGCUGAACUGCAUAAAUAGCAUGCAAUGCAUAAACUGUGACUGGAUACUUCCACAAAAAAAAAAAAAAAAAAGGACCAGCAAGCAGAAGAAGAGAUGAAAGAAUGAGAUAGAUUUAUUCAAGUCAACGAAGCCUGUUGAAAGUCACCCUCAAGUGCAUUAAGAAGCAGCCAAAACAACACAAGCUGAUCCUGGGGUGAUUCAUCUUUGUUGACAUGAGGAGAGAGACAGACCUCGAGGACUGGAGAAGGGCACACGUUGUACCUGCUUGGUAAAAUGGAUGGGUGGGAGGAGAGAAACCACCUUAUCUGCAAUGCCUGGGAUGUGGUGUGGGACUUAGGGAGAUGUAGGACAAACUAUUGCACCAGCAGACAGGUUAGUGUGGGAAGUGGAUGACACUGAGGCACACAGAAACAGCUCAGAAUGAGGUAAGACCAGAAAAAGAGGGCUACACUGGGAAACUCAGUGCAGGGAUGAGUGCUGCAAAGGCACCGUUCCCUGUGGCAGUUCUCUCAGCAGGUACACGUGUGCUUCCAAGUGUGCAAUUUUAAUAAUGCGUCUGCUGCCAGAGCUCACACCUUGAUACAUGAAGACAAAGCAAUCCCACGCUGAGAUCAGGUAGGAAAUCGGAGCUGGCAUCAGGUAGGAAAUGGGAGCCAGAGCAGCAUGGCCAGCAAAAGGUUUUGCUCAUUUUGCAUCCCUGAGAGCAGAGCGGGGUGUGCUUAUAGUUAUUGCAUGGCAUGGGGUCUCCAGGGAAAAAAACCUUGGAGAAACAGGAAUUAAUUUUUGAUGCUCACUGAAGGUACCCAUUGUCUCUAUAAUAUGACUUCCAGUUGGAGCAUUUGGUGCAAUUCCUUUGGGACCCACUGGACAUUGGUGGCUGCAGGCCCCUGCAAUACAGUGACCUUUGAUACCCCGUUAACGUAGGGCUCAUUAUUUUCCUCCCAGUAAGUCCUGUGAGCCAGCUGUGGAGGAGAACAAGGUGCCCAUGCAAGUGAUUUUCUUACCCCAUCAUUUCCUCACCUCUAGCCGGGGUCAGCUCAGCUGUUCAUAGCAUCAGCUAUAAUAAUAUUGAGCAAAUUGAGUGUAAUAAAAGAAGAUGCUUUCUUACACUGACGUGAUGCUUUGAUAAUCUAUUAGCAGCUCUAACCAGGUUUUUUUGACUGCAAAACUCUCAGAGCUCCUCCAUAAAUGGCCAGUGGAUGCAUUUGUGCUGGUGAAGAUUACUUAUUUCUCUCACAGCUUAUUUUUUUAACUACAAAACCAAAAGAAAAAUCUGCCAAGCUGAAAAAAAAAAGCAGCAAAACUGUGAGAUAGGCUGCCUGCCGUUUUCUUGGUUUGCUCCCAAUGAAGGCCAUAUUUAUUACAAGAAAAUUGAAAUCCUAUUGAUUUCUCUUCUGAGGCACUGUGUUUCAAGCUUGACAUUUAAACAUGAAACUCCAGGCUCUAAAGUUUAAUCAUUUACUCCUGUAGAAAUAGAGUGUGUGGAGCCACUGAGAAAAAGGCCAUGCAAGGUAAAAAUAUUUCGUUGGGGAAAAAAAAAGAAGAUAGGGAAAUUACAUAUUCAUUUAAAAACAGAGGAUAGGGAACAGCCUCUCACAUCCAGUGGGCGAAAUGUUGCCAAAAUGGCAUCCUGUGGUCCCUUUCCAUGAGACACGUAGGAGCUCAGGACUUGCUUAGGGUUUGCUAAUGUCUUUCAAAUGGGAUAAGAUUCAUGGUACCAAUAUUGUAGGAGGAGGGGUAAGGAGGCAUAUACACAGGGAUGGAUAUGGAUGGAUAGAUGUGAAUUGAUGAAUAUAUAUAGAGAGAGAUGCAUGGAUAUUUAUGCACACACAUGCAGAAGCGCUGGAUAAUAAACUCAGUUUUAAUUAAGACAAGAAUUAGGGCAUGACUGAUAAAUGGUGAAUGGCAGCAAAUAGCCCAGGAGUGACGCUGGAUUUGGCUGAAAAGGGGUGUUUUAGGCCCAGCAGGGAGGAUAGAUGGAGAUCGCCAAGGUUUGGUACUGAGAAGGAUUUGGCCUUCAUUAAUGUUCCUGUCCUAGCGUGAAUUAAUGACUUGGGGGGAGGGGAGGAAUGCAGAAGAGAUGGAUGUUCUCACUAGUGUUAAAAUCCCACCAAGUUCCAUCCCACUGGGCAGUCCCCAGCCAUCAAAGCAGGGAAGGGAGGAUUGAAUGGGCUGGAUAAAGUGGCUAGGGACAUGCAUUUGGCAAGUGAUCAGGAGAAAUAAGGAGGAGGGGAGCCACAGGCAUGGCUUUCAUCCUGGCUUGGUCAUGGCUUUUGGGCUUGAAAGUCACUUGCAGACCUAAAGGUUGAUCCACGGUGCCCAGCUGGGAAAGGAAUAUGUUUAUUUGGCUUGGAAACAAUGGCUCUUUGAACGUGUUUAGUGUUUUGCACUGGAAAAACAGGUUUUCACAGCCAGGGUUUGUGAGCAACUGCAUGUGCACCAAGCCGUUCACAGGGACUGACUCACUCAGCACCUGCUAAAACCUGGUUUGGGUGACUUUAGGUCCUGAACAUGCCCAUGUGGAUCCUUACCUUGGCCCAGCAAGGGGAAAGGGAAGUGUGAGUGGCACCUUUUGAAACCCAGAAUUUGGAGAACAGGGCUGUAGAGCCAAAAUCACAAGUCUUUUUGUAGCAGCAACUACACAUAUUCCAGCAGAAAUCAAUAAAAUAAAAUUAAUAAAUAAAAUAAUUGUACGUCUUCUCUGUGAGGAAAGGUUGUUGGCUCUGGCACAGGCAAAGUUAGGAUGUCCCUCAGGAGGGCAGUGCUAGGGGUGCAGCGUCCCAAAUCAGCACGAAUAGUUGCUGGGCACAGAAAUCAGUGCUGUGAGAAUUCAUCCCUCUCCCAUUCCUAAGAGCUGUGCUUCAUUGCACUGCCCUCCCAGUCUAUGCAGCAGCCAGAGAGACACCGAAUCCUUGGCCCCUGAGGUUUGCAUCCCAGGCAGGGCUCCAGCCAGGAGCAAAGCUCUCACGCAUAAUCCAUCCCUCCCUAGCACCUUGAAAUUGUGAUUGCUUCAUCAGGGAAGGCAAUUAGCAUUCAAGUGCUGGUGUUAGCAUAAUCAGAAAGACAAAAGGCUGACAGCAAUAGCUGCAAAGCCAGGGCCCUGGUCAGAAAUGUAAUGGAGAAAUAAAUUAUGGCGAGAGAGCACGUUCAGAUCCAGACUUUCGCUGCAGAGGGCAUGGGGGCAGAAAAGAGCCCUGUCUCCUGCUAGUUUGUCAUCCACACUCCAGCGAUCCUCAUGUCCGAUAAACAGCCGAUAAGCAGCCCAGCUUCUUCAGCAAAGGAAGCAUUCCUGUAAUGAGUGGCUGAGAUCACCAGGUACCACCCAGGGAUACUGUGAGUCCUCUUGGCACUGCAUCCUAGUUCUUUAAAGCCAGACCUUUCCGUUCAAAAAAUCAGCUUAUUGCAACGUGCCAUUGUGAGUGUUGCCAUUGUGGUUUGGGAUAGAGGGGAUUUAAGGGCCCCAGGGCUUUGCAAGCUGCUGGUUGGGAAUGUGCACACCCCAGUACUGCUGAAAAGGGGGGAAAAAAACCCCACCAAACAUAAAACCUGAUCACUGGAAGCAGAUUUGGGUGUAAAAAUAAGACUAGAAAAAAACAGUUAAUUGUCCUGGUGACCCCUCCAUCCCUGUAAAUUUGGAAAGCCGAAGUACAGCUGAAUUUUGGGAAGGGAAGGACCAGGUUGUGGCCCCUUUCCAUGCAACCAUGGUGCUGCAGCAGGAGACCGUGUAACAUGGGCAAAAACUGCCAGGAAGCUGAGCACCAAGCUGAAAUGUCUCCAUCAGCCAUGGUGUUGUAUGGGCAUCUUGUCCCCAAAGAUGGCAGGGCAGAGUUUUGAUGGUGUAAGCUCUUUUUUCAAUAUUAUUCACCUACUCAAGAAGUGGAGGCAUCUUAUUGUCUAAAAGAAAGAUAAAGAGAAAGGUCGUUGUGCUCCAGGUUAUUUUUCACACUGCAGAACCAUCCCACUGAUAAAGUGGUGAGUUUGUAGAGGCUGAUAAAUCAGGAGUCAAAUGAAAAAUGCAGUGUUUUUUUUGUUUCCCCAGCCCUGUGAUUUGAUUUGAUCGGAAUUUUCAUUUGAAGCUGACCCUUAAGCAAACCCUUUUAUUUUUCCCAGAAGGUUUACCAUAAGGCACUGCAAAUUUCCCAGUUUUGAGAUGUGACAGCAUGGAGGGAGGCUAUAAAAAUGCAUAAGAGAAUAUUUUUUUUAAUUAUAAAACCUAUGUAUAAUAAAAAUAGAAUAAUAUAAAAUAUCUUAGAUAUAUUACAUAUAUGAUAGCCUUUAUCAAACCAAAGUUAAUGCUCUAAAAAUAUGAUCUUGUGCUUCCCCAAACAAGAGAAAGCAAAAGAAUCUCUCCAGAUGGGUCACACUGAGGACUUGUAUUUGUAUGUGCAGAAAGGGAACCGAACUUGUGCUAAUAAGCAGGUACUCAAUACGCCUUGAUGAGUGAAUGUAUUCAGUCUAUAGAGAGCAAAGCGUUUGCUGCAUCGAGAAUGGGAGAUGAUUCCCCUCCUGCGAAUUUGCCUAAGUACAGAAUAAACAUCUAUUUUCUUUCUGCUUUCCCCCUUUUUCUAAAGCCCAGCUGUCUGAUAAUGCAUAUAAUGAUGGUCCCUCCAGAGACCGAGCCUGAAUUCCCAUUCAUAUGCAAAAAUCAUGAGUGAGAAACUUUAGAUUUGGCCCAAAUAAUAUUAUGCACUUCUCCCAAUGAAGGAAGUUCCAGCUUGCCAUAUUUUUUCUGCUCAGCGCAUGCCAGAUGUCUUUAAAAAAAAGGGGGGGAUGGUUAUUCCUCUAUAUGGAGCUAGCAACAAGGGAAAGAUGCUUCUGGCACAUCCCUAAUGCAAUGCCUCCACACAGGAGCAUGGAGCAAGGGAAAGCUGGAGGCGGACAGGGGAAUCAUCUUGCUCGUAUGGCUGCACUGAACACCAAACCUCUCAUAAGUGUGUCAAGCUGACCCUGUGGAAGGCAACGACCAUAUCACAAAGGGAUGCAUUUAGGGAGCCCUUCAGAUAUUCUUAAAGAUAUAUGCCUUUUCCUUGUGGCCAUAGCCCAAGUGGUGUGUGCAAAGGAAAUGAGCUGAUGCCAUGUGGUCCAGCCUUAGAGAAUAUAAUCUGCCCAUCAUGGAAUAUUAAGGUAUCUUUAAAAAGUGCAGCAGCAGCUCCCCUCCCCUGGCAUCGCAGGGCAAGCAGUGCCCUGCAUGUGCUGGCCAGGUGAUAGCUGAUCUUCCUCUGACACGUUAAAGACAGCAGGAGAGAUGGCAGAAAACAAGGUCUGAAUAUGAUGGCAAAGGGGCUGAGUCAACUGGGUCAAUCAGGUAUUUCUGCAAAGCCAGCUCCCGAGUACUCUUUUUCAGGUGGACUGCUCAGUGCUCACACACCAGUCAGCACUAGGUCUCUGAAGCCCUGCCUCAAGUUGCUCUCCAAGAGCCUGUGAAAUGUUCACACUAUGGAGAGCAGAGGCUUAGGAAGCUCCUUUUAGGCUUCACCAAACCAUUUUGCUUUUAAUGGAGGCAUCUGGCAUGGUAAGAGGGACCUCACUGAGCAGAAAGAUGAGGCUGAUGCUUUGCAGUGAAGUUUUGCUGGAGUCAAAGAAUUAGAGCAGGUGCUGGGGCUCAUCCCUGGGUGGUGGGGAUGGGGAAUGAUCUCAUUUUGGGGGAAAACAGCUAUAAACAGCUGCAUUGUUACUAGAAAAAAAAACCCUCAAGUUGUUUCUCUUUUGGGAGGCUCAAGUAUCACUGCAGGGUUAUUCUAGGGGGCUAUGUGGGUCACAUAUGACAGGCAUGUAAUUUUUCAAGCUGAUUAUUUGGCUUGGGACCAUGUGCUUUGGAGAAAGGAAGGGAUUCAGGAGGAAGGCAGUCAAAUUCAUCCAUUUUUCUCUUUUCCCAAGAAAAAGAAAUGGUCAGAAGAGUAUUUCUUAACCACUAUCUCAAGAUGAAUCUGGGCUUCGCAGUGGUGAGGCAGUGGCCGUCUGUUAAGAGAGUUUAUGUCAGGGGUUUAUGCUGAGCCUCACAGCUGGUGCAGGUGCAUUUCCAGCCAUAAGAAGUAGUAACAAUCCCGGUGGAAACAUUCAGAUGCUGUAAGAGCAGACAGAAAUCUAUUAUCCAUGUGAAUGCAAUGUCAAUAUUUACAGAGAGAGGUCAAAGAACAGAGCUCUGCUCAGGAAAUGUCAGCUCUGGAGAAGGAGGAGGCACUAGCAGCAUUUGCAUUUGGGCUGGAGCAAUCCCUGCAAGGCUGAGUUAUACUUAGGAGGUUUUGUGACUUCAAGCCCUAUUCAACUCAUCUUCUUGUACCAUUGUAUUGUCUAUUGCAGCAGUUCUGGGCACAUCUGCAUGGCCUGGGAGCAAUGCUGGAUGCUUCCUCCUCCUUGGGGGAUACUAACGUGGAUGUGGGUGGUCAUCCAGCCAUGGUGGCUGCAGGCAGCUUUCCUUAUCUGCCAUUAGUAGGAGCUUUUACAGAGAGGCAAAGACAAGAGGAACAGAAAAAUGGUAUGAAGCAAAGCCUUAAGGUAGAGCUAGGUCCAUACCCGCUGCUGAAAACCCCCCAGCAGGAAGCCGACACGAGAACAUUCCUUGUGUAGAGGCUUCAUGGCAGCAGAGGGGCAGGAGCCAGAAACCCAAGAGUUUCUUAGAAGACUGCCUUUUGCUUUUGCACAGUGUCACAAAACACAAGCCCCGUGUAGCCAGGCAGGAGCCAUGUUUUACUCAGACCAGUUGAGGAGGUCUAAGCUAUAAAAACAUUGCUUAAUUUCCCUGCCAGGUAUCAAGGCAAGAAAUUACCAAAUUCUCAUUUUUUCUUUAAUGUGGAGGCAGCAUUAUGGAUUUAGAUAAAGAAUCUCAGAAUAUUUUUCUGCAAGCUUUUUGCUUGGGGUGAAAAGUGUUCAAAAUGUGUUUAAUCCCCAUUGCUCAGUGUAUUUAGCAAUUAUUAUUGGUAGUCCAGGAGUUCCCAGGCCCUCUUGAAUGAAGACCAAAGAGGAUUUGUGUGAGCAUGGAUGGUUCCUGCCUGGGAGAGGCAGGGAUCAGAAGCAUAGGCAAGAGCACAGCCUCAAAAACGGCUUUUUGCCGGCAUACCCAGUUGCUGCCCACGUAUGUUGCCCAUGGGAAUGACAGGAUCCCCAAGUGAUGCUUCCGGGUGAAAGAGAGCAGGGGAACAUCACUGUCCCACACAGCAGGUAUGUGGCUUCUGGGAGGAUUGGGUAUUUCCCCAUAAAAGCAUUUUUUCACAGGGAAGGAGGCUUGAGACAUCCCAGAAAAUAUGGAAAACUCCCAUGCAUUUGGCAAGUGGAAGAAAUGCCUCCUGCAAAAAGGUUGAAUUCCUUCCUCCCUCCUUGGACUGACUUCUUACCUGUAACUAUUUAUGUUCAAUUAAAACAUCAGGGACUGGUGGCCUAUGAGGAUGUGGGUUGUGCCAGGCUGAGAUCUUUCACUGGUUUUAAUAUGUACAUGGCCAAACAGAUGGGUAACCACUCAGUGAGACAGAGAAAGCAAUGUAAAUGAGCAACAGAAACCCCUUUCUGCUUGCCUAUGCACUGGUUGCUUUGCCCACAUUGGACUGGGCCCAAAGGCAGGAGAUUUAGGGAGCUGAAGAGGUUGAAAGUGGGAACUCCCCUGCCACAGAACUGAGUUCAGAGGAUGAGGCAGCCCUGUGAGGUGCAAAGACAUGCAGACAUGUCUCUGUCACAUAUGCCUGGAGUGGCAAAGGAGACCUCUGUGUUGUGGAGAAAGUAAUUUUGGACUUUCCAUCUCCCUUCUGAUUAAACAUUAUUGUAUUUGGGCAAGAUAUUUCGAAGCUGUUUCUCUGCUGGCCAUUUCUCUCGUAACAGUUUAAUUAAUGAAACAAAAUUUUUGGCAGGUUUAUGCCACUUGAUAUUUAAAGCGAGGUGAUACGAAUUUAUUCUGCAUGGGAUCUCAUGAUUUGCUCUGUCUGCAGUGUCAGACAGUUGUAAUUGAGUUAAUAUUAACGCUGAUUAGGAAAAAUAACACUAUGUCCCUACCACCUGAGCACCAGGAAGGAUAUCACCUUGGGCACGCAUGUGCGUGUGCCACUGGGGUUUCCUGCGGCCAACACAGUAUCCAGCGUCAUAUCUGUGAAAAUUAAGCUCCACCAGCAGUGCUCCUCGUUCCUAGACAGUCUGCAGGCGCCUGGCCUGUCUCCCAGCUUGCCCCACCCCCCUGGCAAAAGCAAAGUUUCUUUAGGUACCGUAAUUCCCACUCCCAUCUGGGAUUCCCUGUCCCGCCCCGCGGUGUCCUCCUGCCGCCGGCCGUGCCGCCGUGCCCGUCUGUAGCGCCAGGGGGCGAUGGUGCCGCCGUGCCGCUCCCGGGAAACCGGGACAAACCGACCCUCCCUGGGUCGGUGCCGAAACUGCUAGGAAAGUCCUCGGGACCCCUCGGGGGGUCUCCUCCCAGGGCCAGACCCCCGGCUCCCGGCGGGGCGCUCCUGCCAGGACCCGCGGGUGGCCUGCGGCAGCCGCCGCUCUGGCUCCGCCCGCCGGGAUUCUCGGGACUGCUGAUCGUCGGGACAGACAGACAGACGGAAGAGCCACUCGUGCCUGAAAGACCUCCCGUGGGGUGUGGAGCCCUGCGCUGUGCGUGGCUGGGGACUGCGCUGCCUUCCCUCAGCCAGAGACACCGCAGGGACUGCAGCUCCAGCUCGGUUGCAGCUUCGGGUCAGUGGUUUCAGCCCGCGUUUGUUUCAGGUCCAGCUCAUGGACAGCUCCAGUUCGUGGAUGGCUCCAGCUCAUUUCGGCUUCGGUUCAAUUUUGCCUUCAGCUCAUUCAGGGGCUCCCAUGUUUCUUCUCUGGUUUGUUUCAGGUCCAGCUCAUAGACUGCUCCGGUUAAUUUUGGCUCAGUUUGUCCACAGCUCCUCUUCAGCUCUCGUUCAUUUCAGCACCAGGUCGAGUUCAAUUCUGUGUGUUCAAAUGAUCUUGGCUUUUGAUAAGGUCGUAAAUCGCUGUCAAAAUUUGUAUAUGAAUACAAACUGUCAUAAUUGUGUAUGGACUAAUGAGUUAAUUACUAUUCCAGCUGUUAUACACACCUUGAAAAAACAGCUGAGAUGCAAA
Long non-coding RNA from Pseudopipra pipra, 10827 nucleotides. RefSeq lists it as uncharacterized. NCBI's taxonomy places the organism in Eukaryota, Metazoa, Chordata, Aves, Passeriformes, Pipridae. The transcript is spliced from 2 exons. The record is from RefSeq and is a predicted model, not a curated record.